CAACAACAACAACAACAAAGCCUUUUCCCACUAAGUGGGGUCGGCAAUAUGAAUCCUAGAACGCCAUUGCGCUCGGUUUUGUGUCAUGUCCUCCGUUAGAUCCAAGUACUCUAAGUCUUUUCUUAGAGUCUCUUCCAAAGUUUUCCUAGGUCUUCCUCUACCCCUUCGGCCCUGAACCUCUGUCCCGUAGUCACAUCUUCGAACCAGAGCGUCAGUAGGCCUUCUUUGCACAUGUCCAAAUCACCGGAACCGAUUUUCUCUCAUCUUUCCUUCAAUUUCGGCUACUCCUACUUUACCUCGGAUAUCCUCAUUCCCAAUCUUAUCAUUUCUCGUGUGCCCACACAUCCCACGAAGCAUCCUCAUCUCUGCUACACCCAUUUUGUGUACGUGUUGAUGCUUCACCGCCCAACAUUCUGUGCUAUACAACAUCGCUGGCCUUAUUGCCGUCCUAUAAAAUUUUCCCUUGAGCUUCAGUGGCCUACGACGGUCACACAACACGCCGGAUGCACUCUUACACUUCAUCCAUCCAGCUUGUAUUCUAUGGUUGAGAUCUCCAUCUAAUUUUCCGUUCUCUUGCAAGAUAGAUCCUAGGUAGCGAAAACGGUCGCUUUUUGUGAUCUUCGCUAGAUUGCUCCGGUCAUUAGUGUGGAUAAGUAUAUAAAUGGAUAGAGAUAGGAAAGCAAACACAAGAUGUACAUGAUUCACCCAGAUUGGCUACGUUCACGGAAUAGAAGAGUUCUCAUUAAUUGUGAAGGGUUUACACAAGUACAUAGGUUCAAGCUCUCCUUUAGUGAGUACAAGUAAAUGAUUUAGUACAAAUGACAUUAGGAAAUAUUGUGGGAGAAUGAUCUCGUAAUCACGAAACUUCUAAGUAUCGGAGUGUGGUAUCGUCUUGACUUGCCUUAUCUGUCUCAUAGGUAGAUGUGACAUCUUCUCUGGAAGUACUCUUCCUCCAUCCAGGGGUGGUAUCUUUAACUGGUGGAGAUGCACAAGGUAAUGUAUCAAUUUCACUUGAAGCUUACUUGUAGUUUCAAGCUUGGUCAAGCGCGAUACAAACCAUGUAGUAGGAGUCCCCAAGUCGCCGAGCUAGGGGAUCUGCUGAAAGAGGUGACAGACAAGGUAAGCAAUCAGAGCUCCGGCUGAUUGUUCACAUUCUCCUUAUCUUGCAGGCAGCAUGAAGGAUAAAGAGAAGAAAAAUGAGAAGAGAUGAUAUGGGAUACUUUUGCUUUUGAAGAAGUAACUUUCCACAGGCUUAUUCUUGAACUGAGCUGGAGGGUUUUCUGGUUUCCUCCAGAGUAUAAGGCCGACUGAAAAAUUUGAGGGUCAAAACAAGUCCAUCAAAUCUAGAGUAUGUUCGACCCUGCUGAUAUGAGAUACUUUUGCUUUUGACAGAGUAAUGGAUGUAUUGGCACGUGUGAUGUUACACUUGUCUCCACAUGCUUCCUUGUAUCCUUCUCACUUGCCCUAUCUGUUCCUCAGGCAGAUGCGGUAUCUUCCCUAGGAGCAUAAGAUGUUGAAGAUGAGUACUCGAGAGCAAUGCCAGGUAAGUAAUCAGGUAAAGGGUUCCAGGCAGUCAGUUCCUGGCUCGAAGCUUGAUUCCAAGUGCUGACUGAUUGCUCUCUUUCUCCUUGUCUUGCAGGUAAGAACAAGGCCAAAGGAAAAGACAGGGAAAAAGCAUGAUAUGGGAUACUCUUGCUUCUCGAGAGCUAGACUCCCAACAUGAUUACUUUUUCAAAAAUCGAAGAGACACCCCUCUCCGAAUCUCGAGAGCCAGACCCCCGCAUGAUUGCUUUCUCAAAAAUCGAAGAGGCAUCGUUCUCCGAAUCUCGAGAGCCAGAUCCUCGAUAGGAUUGCUUGUUCGAAAAUCAAAGAGGCACCACUUUCCCAACUUCAAGAGCCGGAUCUCCUUGGAUAAAGCUUGUCUGUAAUCUUCACACGCAACAUCAGCUUUCCAGAUACCACAUACCACUUUUUCAAAGUGCUCUGACAGAGUUAAAACAUGUGAAGCUGGCAGCUCCCACUACCGUGCUAUGACCAAGCAGGGUAAAGGAAUAGCAUUACUACUUGUUGUUAGGGAGACUCCUAUAUAUGUCGACCUCCAUCCCUAACGGACAGGCAGACCUGCAAAAAUGCUCAACCCUUCCUUAUAUCUGAGAGGGCACUCCCAACGAAGCCUUUCGAAAUAUUCAGCUUUCUUCCCCCCCCCCGAUAAUACCUCUGCAAACAAGCUAUACUAGAGCAAGAAUAUCUCAUAUCAUCAGGAAGGCGGUGCCUCUUCGAUUUUGGAGCAAGCAAUCUUGUUAUGAGUGUUUUCUCGAAUGUGAGUAAAGGUUGGGCAUGUUUGCUAGUCUACCUUGCCACGAAGCACAAAGGUUGACACACAGGGACUUUCCAAUUAUCCAGCAAUGGUACUGUUCCUUUACCCUCUUCAAUUUUUGAGAAAGUAGUCAUGUUGGGAGUCUGGCCCUCGAGAUGCGGAGGACGGUGGAUUUUGGAGCAAGCAAUCUGAUUGGGAGUGUUUUCUCGAAAGUGAGUAAAGGUUGGGCAUGUUUGCUAGUCUACCUUGCCACGAAGCACAGAGGUUGACACACGGGGACUUUCCAAUUAUCCAGCAGUGGUACUGUUCCUUUACCCUUGUGGGUAAUAAUAUGGUAGCUAGACCUUCAAAAUUUAUGUGUCUAAACUUUGUUAGUGCUGUUUCUUUGCUAUUCUUUUAACCUUCUUGGUCAGAGCGAUGUAGUGGGAGCUGCAAGCUUCACGUGCUCAACUUUGGCAGAGAACUUUGGCAAAGUUAUCUGUGGUACCUAUGAGCUAUUGUUGCGUGUGGGAAGUGGGUGAUUGAACAGUAAGAUUCAUGUGCUUUCUACUUCACCAGAAGUCUUCGACAGAAUGCCCAUAAUUUCCGCAAAGUUGAGUGUGCGUGUGACAGGUGCUGACAAGGCUGGAAAAGUAGGCGCCUCUUCGAUUUCUGAGAUCGGCCCUCGUGGUCUCUGAGCAGCCCAGCUUUUGAGAAAGCGAGCACCUCUUCGAUUGAUUCGGAGAACAAUGCCUCUUCGAUUUUUGAGAAAGCAAUCGCGCUGGGGGUCUGGCUCUCGAGAUUCGGAGAGCGGUGUCUCUUCGAUUUUUAAGAAAGUAAUCAUGUUGGGAGUCUGGCUCUCGAGAUUCGGAGGGCGGUGCCUCUUCGAUUUUGGAGCAAGCAAUCUUGUUGGGAGUGUUUUCUCGAAUGUGAGUAAAGGUUGUGCAUGUUUGCUAGUCUACCUUGCCACGAAGCACAGAGGUUGACACACAUGGACUUUCCAAUUAUCCAGCAAUGGUACUGUUCCUUUACCCUCUCUUCGAUUUUUGAGAAAAUAGUCAUGUUGGGAGUCUAGCUCCCGAGAUUCGGAGGACGGUGCCUCUUCGAUUUUGGAGCAAGCAAUCUUGUUGGGAGUUUUCUCGAAUGUGAGUAAAUGUUGGGCAUGUUUGCUAGUCUACCUUGCCACGAAGCACAGAGGUUGACACACAGGGACUUUCCAAUUAUCCAGCAGUAGUACUGUUCCUUUACCCUUGUGGGUAAUAAUAUGGUAGCUAGGCCUUCAAAAUUUAUGUGUCUAAACUUUGUUAGUGCUGUUUCUUUACUAUUCUUUUACCCUUCUUGGUUAGAGCGAUGUAGUAGGAGCUGCAAGCUUCACGUGCUCAACUUUGGCAAAGUUAUCUGUGGUACCCAUGAGCUAUUGUUGCGUGUGGGAAGUGGGUGAUUGAGCAGUAAGGUUCAUGUGCUUUCUACUUUACCAGAAGUCUUCGACAGAAUGCCCAUAAUUUCCGCAAAGCUGAGUGUGCGUGUGACAGGUGCUGACAAGGCUGGAAAAGUAGGUGCCUCUUCGAUUUCUGAGAUCGGCCCUCGUGGUCUCUGAGUAGCCCAGCUUUUGAGAAAGCGAGCGCCUCUUCGAUUUCUGAGAUUGGCCUUCGUGGUCUUUGAGCAGCCCAGCUUUUGAGAAAGCAAACGCCUCUUCGAUUUCUGAGAUCAACCCUCGUGGUCUCUGAGCAGCCCAGCUUUUGAGAAAGCAAACGUCUCUUCGAUUUCUGAAGCUCCGUCGAGUGCAGAUUUUUAUAGGGGCUGGCAUUAAGUUCUAAAGCACACUUGAAAUCCACCAGUAGAAGCUCCAUUCUUGCACUUCUAAGAUCUUGAUUUGUCUGACCUCUUCUCUCUUCAACACCUUUGAAAAUGUCUGGACCUUCCGACCGUCGUUUUGACUUGAAUCUUGUUGAAGAGGCAGCUCCGCCUUUUCCAGACAACAUAUGGCGCCCAUCUUUCGUCUCCCCUACUGGUCCUCUUACCGUUGGGGAUUCCGUAAUGAAGAAUGAUAUGACCGCUGCGGUGGUGGCCAGGAACCUUCUCACUUCCAAAGAUAACAGACUACUUUCCAAACGGUCUGAUGAGUUAGCUGUUAAGGAUUCGCUGGCUCUCAGUGUUCAGUGUGCAGGUUCUGUGUCUAAUAUGGCCCAACGCCUAUUUGCUCGAACCCGCCAAGUUGAAUCAUUGGCGGCUGAAGUGAUGAGUCUCAAACAGGAGAUUAGAGGGCUUAAGCAUGAGAAUAAACAGUUGCACCGGCUCGCCCAUGACUAUGCUACAAACAUGAAGAGGAAGCUUGACCAGAUGAAGGAAUCUGAUGGUCAGGUUUUACUUGAUCAUCAGAGAUUUGUGGGUUUGUUCCAAAGGCAUUUAUUGCCUUCAUCUUCUGGGGCUGUACCGCGUAAUGAAGCUCCAAAUGAUCAACCUCUGAUGCCUCGUCCUUCUAGGAUUCUGUCCAGUACUGAGGCUCCGAAUGAUCCCCCUCCGGUGCCUUCUCUUUCUGGGGCUCUACCGACUGCUGAGACUUCUCCUAAGCAACCUUUGUGAAGACUCCCUCUUGUUUGUUUAUUUUGACUUAUGUAUAUGUACAUAUUUGUAUCUUAUCGGGAAUAUCAAUAAAUAAGCUUUCCUUCAUUUCAACGUUUGUGUUAAAUACACCAAAGCCUUAUUCGCUAAGUUCUUUGAAUUUUGUUUUAUUGAAGCUUGUAUGUUGAAGCUUUGUGAGUGGAGUAUGUAGGUUGAGGUAGUGUUCCCUUAAUUUCCCGAAUGAGGAAAACUUCUCGGUUGGAGACUUGGAAAAUCCAAGUCACUGAGUGGGAUCGGCUAUAUGAAUCUUAGAACGCCAUUGUGCUCGGUCCUGUGUCAUGUCCUUCAUUAGAUCCAAGUACUCUAAGUCUUUUCUUAGAGUCUCUUCCAAAGUUUUCCUAGGUCUUCCUCUACCCCUUCGGCCCUGAACCUCUGUCCCAUAGUUGCAUCUUCUAAUCGGAGCGUCAGUAGGCCUUCUUUGCACAUGUCCAAACCACCGUAACCG
Molecule: long non-coding RNA, 5363 nt
Filed under: Malus domestica (apple)
Lineage: Eukaryota; Viridiplantae; Streptophyta; Magnoliopsida; Rosales; Rosaceae
Description: long non-coding RNA (MDOM_LNC004944)
Source: RNAcentral